Molecule: ribosomal RNA, 492 nt
Filed under: uncultured bacterium
Lineage: Bacteria
Description: bacterial SSU rRNA
Rfam family: Bacterial small subunit ribosomal RNA
Source: RNAcentral
GAGUUUGAUCAUGGCUCAGAUUGAACGCUGGCGGAAUGCUUUACACAUGCAAGUCGAGCGGCAGCGCGGGGCAACCUGGCGGCGAGCGGCGAACGGGUGAGUAAUGCAUCGGAACAUGUCCAUGUCGUGGGGGAUAGCCCGGCGAAAGCCGGAUUAAUACCGCAUACGCCCGAGAGGGGAAAGUGGGGGACCGCAAGGCCUCACGCGAUUGGGUUGGCCGAUGUCCGAUUAGCUAGUUGGUGGGGUAAAGGCUUACCAAGGCGAUGAUCGGUAGCUGGUCUGAGAGGAUGAUCAGCCACACUGGGACUGAGACACGGCCCAGACUCCUACGGGAGGCAGCAGUGGGGAAUUUUGGACAAUGGGGGCAACCCUGAUCCAGCCAUUCCGCGUGAGUGAAGAAGGCCUUCGGGUUGUAAAGCUCUUUUACCCGGGAAGAUAAUGACUGUACCGGGAGAAUAAGCUCCGGCUAACUCCGUGCCAGCAGCCGCGGUA